RNAcentral lists this long non-coding RNA (1752 nucleotides) under Triticum aestivum (bread wheat). Its description in RNAcentral is "long non-coding RNA (TAES_LNC015199)". The record is from RNAcentral. Lineage: Eukaryota; Viridiplantae; Streptophyta; Magnoliopsida; Poales; Poaceae.
CACAAUCAGCCUCCUCAAUCUCCAACCUGUUCUACAUCCCCUCUCCGCCCGUCCACAAUCAGCCUCCUCAAUCUCCAACCUCCUGCAGCCGUCCUUCUCUGAUUUGGAUCAAAGUAGAGCCAUCGAUGGAGGCAGGGGAGCAGCAGAUGGAGCAAAAGAAAUAAAGAAUCAGUUGCUCCCGCUGCUACCUCCCAGUCGCGUCCCACCCCGUUAGGAACGCUGCCCGGCUCCCCUGCUCCUAUCGCCCCACCUUUUCCUAGCCAAUAAUCAAGGUAAUUUCCCUCUCUUUGUUUUUUGCUUUACACGGUGCAUAGCAGUCAGAACUUGUACAUGUAAAUACUAAAACGUUAUGCUAUGCAGAUAGGCUUGCUCUAGGCGCUGAAUAUCUUGUAGUUGAAAUUACUUGGAUGCUUUCUAAAUGUGGUACUUACACAAUCAAGUUAUGUGUGCCAAGUCAAGUUUUAUGUGGUGGAUCAUGUGGGUAUAAAAGAAUAGAUUAGUAGUACCAAGUCUGAUCCGUCUUCACUAUGUGGAGCUUUCCAUUCGUCUUUUGUAAUGUUCCAUUAACCAUGUGGAGCUCUAGACAAAUUUUAUUGACUCCAAAAGAAACAGAUUGAUGAUGUUUUUUGUAGACAAAAUACAAUAAAAGGUCAUUGUUGCAUAAUUUGGGAAAGCAACAAAAGAUCUUUUUCAGAUAAUGAUGUGCUGUUAUGAUAUAUAUAAAAUCUUUGGGUCAUUCACCUCAUUGUAUUAUGAUUGAUGAGUUAAUCACCUCAUUCCCCUUCCUCCUCCCUGACGUAGGGGUGCAGUAGAGGAGCACCGGUGUAGAAUGCAUCUGCAGUGGUGCGGGUUGGGGACCGAGUGACGGAUUCAGGUCAAGGGGGUUUUCGGCUAGCGUAGAAGCAGGCUGCAUAAGAAUGCAAUAAUUUGAUUAAGCAAGACAGGCGUCUGGGAAACAAGCACGGUGAUGGCUUGCUCAACUAGAAGUUCUACAAUAAAUGGUACAAGCAUUGAUCCCUUCUUUCUGUACCUUUGGUUCUGGUUCACGGGAGCUUUAGCUCUUGAAGUUGGCUUGCUUUUACUGGUAAUGAAUUGUGGUAAUGCUUUUCUCAUCUUUCUUAGUUAGACGGGCACAGAUUUGUCCACGGCAGCAGCCGUCAUUUGUUUGAUUUUUGUAUUGUUGCGGUCGUGGCUCUUGAGCUGCAUUGAUUUUUCUAUUUCUUAACUAUUUUGUAUCACUUUUACCUGCAUAUUCAAGGAUUUUUUUUCUUGGUACUAGGAUGGCUAUUUUCUCCUGGAAUGCAGAUGGAUGUCUGAUUGAGGAGAUGAAUCAUGCAUCCUGCUAUGAUAUGACAGAGCAGUACCGUGAGUACAUAGGGAAGCAGCUCAACAACCGGCAUACUACAAUUUCAAUUUCUACAAUGCAGAUGAAUGCUAUGCAUUUUCCGGUGUAUGAGUUCUUUGUGAUUUCCUCCCAUAUUUUUGAUCCAGACUUUCAUGAUACACACACAUACUAUAAACUUUAGUACUACUAAUUGCUAGCUUUAUUUGGUCAUAUCUGAUUCUCUGUUGUUAAUCCUCUCCUACAUUGCCAAGCUCAGUUUGAUUAUAUGUGGAGGUGUGUUUUAUUCUCUGAUGAUAUUUCCAUAUUUUUGAAUAUAUGGCAAGCACAACUCUUGGUGUUAGCGCUUAUUCCUUUUAUUUUAGAUGGUUUACUACGGUACUUGAGAGUCAUUUAUUGAUUUAUUUUGG